AGGCAUAAUACAGCCGCCGGUGCCCUUCGGGGCCUAACAGGGAACACAGCGGGAAGAUUGCCGCUGUGGCUGCCCCCGCAACUGUAUGCAGCGAGUCCGCCUGCGCUUGGCGCCACUGGUUAAACCGGGAAGGCCGCGGCGGACGACGACCUGCCAGCCAGGAGACCUGCCGGCCAGACUGUUCGUGC
This 188-nucleotide non-coding RNA is filed under the name Burkholderia sp. The record is from RNAcentral. Lineage: Bacteria; Pseudomonadati; Pseudomonadota; Betaproteobacteria; Burkholderiales; Burkholderiaceae.